GAUGAGCGCUGGCGGCGUGCUUAACACAUGCAAGUCGAACGGAAAGGCCCAAGCUUGCUUGGGUACUCGAGUGGCGAACGGGUGAGUAACACGUGGGUGAUCUGCCCUGCGCUUCGGGAUAAGCCUGGGAAACUGGGUCUAAUACCGGAUAGGACCACAUUUUGGAUGGUGUGGUGGAAAGUUUUUCGGUGUGGGAUGAGCUCGCGGCCUAUCAGCUUGUUGGUGGGGUAAUGGCCUACCAAGGCGUCGACGGGUAGCCGGCCUGAGAGGGUGUACGGCCACAUUGGGACUGAGAUACGGCCCAGACUCCUACGGGAGGCAGCAGUGGGGAAUAUUGCACAAUGGGCGCAAGCCUGAUGCAGCGACGCCGCGUGGGGGAUGACGGCCUUCGGGUUGUAAACUCCUUUCGCUAGGGACGAAGCGCAAGUGACGGUACCUGGAGAAGAAGCACCGGCUAACUACGUG
RNAcentral lists this ribosomal RNA (465 nucleotides) under uncultured bacterium. Its description in RNAcentral is "partial 16S ribosomal RNA". It matches the Rfam family "Bacterial small subunit ribosomal RNA", at positions 28 to 507 of the family's 1533-position model. The record is from RNAcentral.